RNAcentral lists this ribosomal RNA (629 nucleotides) under Pseudothelomma ocellatum. Its description in RNAcentral is "eukaryotic LSU rRNA". It matches the Rfam family "Eukaryotic large subunit ribosomal RNA", at positions 123 to 771 of the family's 3401-position model. The record is from RNAcentral. Lineage: Eukaryota; Fungi; Ascomycota; Lecanoromycetes; Caliciales; Caliciaceae.
UGGCCUCUUCGGGGCCCGAGUUGUAAUUUGUAGAGGGUGUUUCGGGUGAGGUGUCGGCCUAAGUCCCUUGGAACAGGGUGUCAUAGAGGGUGAGAACCCCGUCUGCGGCCGGCAACCGACCCCCCGUGAAACCCCUUCGACGAGUCGGGUUGUUUGGGAAUGCAGCUCUAAACGGGUGGUAAAUUUCAUCUAAAGCUAAAUACCGGCCAGAGACCGAUAGCGCACAAGUAGAGUGAUCGAAAGAUGAAAAGCACUUUGGAAAGAGAGUUAAAAAGUACGUGAAAUUGUUGAAAGGGAAGCGCUUGCAACCAGACCUGUCUUCGGGUGAUCAGCCGUCGUUCUCGAUGGUGUACUCGCUCGGUGCAGGCCAGCAUCGAUUCGGGCGGUUGGAUAAAGGCCGGGGGAACGUGGCUCCCCUCGGGGAGUGUUAUAGCCCUCGGUGCAAUGCGGCCAGCCUGGAUCGAGGACCGCGCUUCGGCUAGGAUGCUGGCGUAAUGGUUGUAAGCGGCCCGUCUUGAAACACGGACCAAGGAGUCGAUCAUCUAUGCGAGUGUUUGGGUGUCAAACCCAUGCGCGGAAUGAAAGUGAACGGAGGUGAGAACUCUUCAGAGCGCAUCAUCGACCGAUCC